RNAcentral lists this ribosomal RNA (459 nucleotides) under uncultured Lactococcus sp. RNAcentral's name for it is "partial 16S ribosomal RNA". It matches the Rfam family "Bacterial small subunit ribosomal RNA", at positions 341 to 792 of the family's 1533-position model. The record is from RNAcentral. Lineage: Bacteria; Bacillati; Bacillota; Bacilli; Lactobacillales; Streptococcaceae.
ACGGGAGGCAGCAGUAGGGAAUCUUCGGCAAUGGACGAAAGUCUGACCGAGCAACGCCGCGUGAGUGAAGAAGGUUUUCGGAUCGUAAAACUCUGUUGUUAGAGAAGAACGACGAGGAGAGUGGAAAGCUCCUCGUGUGACGGUAUCUAACCAGAAAGGGACGGCUAACUACGUGCCAGCAGCCGCGGUAAUACGUAGGUCCCGAGCGUUGUCCGGAUUUAUUGGGCGUAAAGCGAGCGCAGGUGGUUUAUUAAGUCUGGUGUAAAAGGCAGUGGCUCAACCAUUGUAUGCAUUGGAAACUGGUAGACUUGAGUGCAGGAGAGGAGAGUGGAAUUCCAUGUGUAGCGGUGAAAUGCGUAGAUAUAUGGAGGAACACCGGUGGCGAAAGCGGCUCUCUGGCCUGUAACUGACACUGAGGCUCGAAAGCGUGGGGAGCAAACAGGAUUAGAUACCCUGGUA